ACGUAGGGGGCGAGCGUUGUCCGGAAUUACUGGGCGUAAAGCGCACGUAGGCGGGCUGUCAAGUCGGCCGUGAAAGGCACUGGCUCAACCGGUGUUUGUCGGUCGAUACUGGCGGUCUGGAGUAUGGGAGAGGGAACUGGAAUUUCUGGUGUAGCGGUGAAAUGCGUAGAUAUCGGGAGGAACACCAAUUGCGAAGGCAGGUUCCUGGCCCAUUACUGACGCUGAGGUGCGAAAGCCUGGGGAGCGAACGG
This 251-nucleotide ribosomal RNA is filed under the name uncultured prokaryote. RNAcentral describes it as "partial 16S rRNA". It matches the Rfam family "Bacterial small subunit ribosomal RNA", at positions 525 to 775 of the family's 1533-position model. The record is from RNAcentral.